GCCUCGGUGGCUCCGAGGCAAAGUGCCGGCCUACGGAUCCCCAGGUGGCGGGUUCGAACCCCGUCCGAGGUG
This is a non-coding RNA of Ixodes scapularis (black-legged tick), 72 nucleotides long. NCBI's taxonomy places the organism in Eukaryota, Metazoa, Arthropoda, Arachnida, Ixodida, Ixodidae. The record is from Rfam.